UGCAAACUGCGAAUACCGGAGAAUGUUAUCACGGGAGACACACGGCGGGUGCUAACGUCCGUCGUGAAGAGGGAAACAACCCAGACCGCCAGCUAAGGUCCCAAAGUCAUGGUUAAGUGGGAAACGAUGUGGGAAGGCCCAGACAGCCAGGAUGUUGGCUUAGAAGCAGCCAUCAUUUAAAGAAAGCGUAAUAGCUCACUGGUCGAGUCGGCCUGCGCGGAAGAUGUAACGGGGCUAAACCAUGCACCGAAGCUGCGGCAGCGACACUAUGUGUUGUUGGGUAGGGGAGCGUUCUGUAAGCCUGUGAAGGUGGCCUGUGAGGGUUGCUGGAGGUAUCAGAAGUGCGAAUGCUGACAUAAGUAACGAUAAAGCGGGUGAAAAGCCCGCUCGCCGGAAGACCAAGGGUUCCUGUCCAACGUUAAUCGGGGCAGGGUGAGUCGACCCCUAAGGCGAGGCCGAAAGGCGUAGUCGAUGGGAAACAGGUUAAUAUUCCUGUACUUGGUGUUACUGCGAAGGGGGGACGGAGAAGGCUAUGUUGGCCGGGCGACGGUUGUCCCGGUUUAAGCGUGUAGGCUGGUUUUCCAGGCAAAUCCGGAAAACCAAGGCUGAGGCGUGAUGACGAGGCACUACGGUGCUGAAGCGACAAAUGCCCUGCUUCCAGGAAAAGCCUCUAAGCAUCAGGUAACAUCAAAUCGUACCCCAAACCGACACAGGUGGUCAGGUAGAGAAUACCAAGGCGCUUGAGAGAACUCGGGUGAAGGAACUAGGCAAAAUGGUGCCGUAACUUCGGGAGAAGGCACGCUGAUAUGUAGGUGAAGCGACUUGCUCGUGGAGCUGAAAUCAGUCGAAGAUACCAGCUGGCUGCAACUGUUUAUUAAAAACACAGCACUGUGCAAACACGAAAGUGGACGUAUACGGUGUGACGCCUGCCCGGUGCCGGAAGGUUAAUUGAUGGGGUUAGCGGUAACGCGAAGCUCUUGAUCGAAGCCCCGGUAAACGGCGGCCGUAACUAUAACGGUCCUAAGGUAGCGAAAUUCCUUGUCGGGUAAGUUCCGACCUGCACGAAUGGCGUAAUGAUGGCCAGGCUGUCUCCACCCGAGACUCAGUGAAAUUGAACUCGCUGUGAAGAUGCAGUGUACCCGCGGCAAGACGGAAAGACCCCGUGAACCUUUACUAUAGCUUGACACUGAACAUUGAGCCUUGAUGUGUAGGAUAGGUGGGAGGCUUUGAAGUGUGGACGCCAGUCUGCAUGGAGCCGACCUUGAAAUACCACCCUUUAAUGUUUGAUGUUCUAACGUUGGCCCGUAAUCCGGGUUGCGGACAGUGUCUGGUGGGUAGUUUGACUGGGGCGGUCUCCUCCUAAAGAGUAACGGAGGAGCACGAAGGUUGGCUAAUCCUGGUCGGACAUCAGGAGGUUAGUGCAAUGGCAUAAGCCAGCUUGACUGCGAGCGUGACGGCGCGAGCAGGUGCGAAAGCAGGUCAUAGUGAUCCGGUGGUUCUGAAUGGAAGGGCCAUCGCUCAACGGAUAAAAGGUACUCCGGGGAUAACAGGCUGAUACCGCCCAAGAGUUCAUAUCGACGGCGGUGUUUGGCACCUCGAUGUCGGCUCAUCACAUCCUGGGGCUGAAGUAGGUCCCAAGGGUAUGGCUGUUCGCCAUUUAAAGUGGUACGCGAGCUGGGUUUAGAACGUCGUGAGACAGUUCGGUCCCUAUCUGCCGUGGGCGCUGGAGAACUGAGGGGGGCUGCUCCUAGUACGAGAGGACCGGAGUGGACGCAUCACUGGUGUUCGGGUUGUCAUGCCAAUGGCACUGCCCGGUAGCUAAAUGCGGAAGAGAUAAGUGCUGAAAGCAUCUAAGCACGAAACUUGCCCCGAGAUGAGUUCUCCCUGACUCCUUGAGAGUCCUGAAGGAACGUUGAAGACGACGACGUUGAUAGGCCGGGUGUGUAAGCGCAGCGAUGCGUUGAGCUAACCGGUACUAAUGAACCGUGAGGCUUAACCUUACAACGCCGAAG
Molecule: ribosomal RNA, 2012 nt
Filed under: Escherichia coli
Lineage: Bacteria; Pseudomonadati; Pseudomonadota; Gammaproteobacteria; Enterobacterales; Enterobacteriaceae
Description: partial 23S ribosomal RNA
Rfam family: Bacterial large subunit ribosomal RNA
Source: RNAcentral